CUCCUUCAGGCUGAGAAGAGAAGUACAAAGUACAAAGAUGCUGCAGAUUUGUCACCAAAUCGAGGAAAUGUUUGAAGAUUUAUUAGCGUGGACUACGUUCGAAGAACUUGUUAAACUUUAAGGAUAAGGUUAGGGGUCGUGCCGGUGAGUGUGGCCGUGCCACCGAUGCUGGCAGAGUAACACACACUCAGACUCAUCCCUUUGGUCAGAUGCUCAUACUUGGCCUCCAUCGCUUUUCUCCUGGACUCCUGCAUUGCUUCUCGACUACACUCAUGUUGAUCUGGAGCCCAAGAAAUUCAUUUCUCUCAUCUCAAGCUCAAAUGCAGGGUUGUCCUCGGCUGCAUCCUGGAAAUCUUGUUCGUCUGCCCGAGCCUCUGUGGCUUUCAGCUGCUGCAGCACGGCAUGGGCAAUGGGCAGCAUCAUGGCCGUGGUGGCUGUG
This is a long non-coding RNA of Micropterus salmoides (largemouth bass), 439 nucleotides long. RefSeq lists it as uncharacterized. The transcript has 3 exons. The record is from RefSeq and is a predicted model, not a curated record. Lineage: Eukaryota; Metazoa; Chordata; Actinopteri; Centrarchiformes; Centrarchidae.